Molecule: long non-coding RNA, 715 nt
Filed under: Zostera marina
Lineage: Eukaryota; Viridiplantae; Streptophyta; Magnoliopsida; Alismatales; Zosteraceae
Description: long non-coding RNA (ZMAR_LNC005488)
Source: RNAcentral
GGAUCAUGUUUCAAGACAUAACAACACUUCUUCUCGAUCCAAAGGCCUUCAAACACACCUUGGACUUGUUCGUAGAGCGAUACACCGGCAAGAACAUCACUGCGGUUGCAGGUAAACAACCAUGGUAGAUAGAUAGAUAGAUUAGAUGAAAGAAGGAGUAGCGUUGACUGUUGGUUUUGUGUUGGAAUGAUUAAAUAGGUGUGGAGGCAAGAGGAUUUAUCUUUGGGUCUCCGAUUGCAUUGGCAAUCGGGGCCAAGUUCAUCCCACUCCGAAAACCGAACAAAUUACCGGGUCAAGUCAUCUCCGAGAAGUAUGUUUUGGAAUACGGAACGGACUGUCUUGAGAUGCACACCGAAGCCGUUGACUCCACAGACCGUGCUCUGGUGGUCGACGAUCUCAUUGCGACGGGAACUCUUUGUGCGGCCAUCAACUUGCUCGAACGUGUUGGAGCGAAGGUGGUUGAGUGCGCCUGCGUUAUUGAGCUUCCAGAGCUGAAGGUCCGUCUGUUAGUCACUGAGAUUGUUAUGACUAAUGACUUGUUAUAUAUGUAUUUUAACAUAAUAAUAACACAUGCAGGGUCGGGAAAGAUUGAACGGCAAGUCGCUGUUUAUACUGAUGGAGUCUCACUGAAUGUUUGCGCGCGUCUCUCCUUCCUUUCCUUCCAAUUGAUUUGUCUUCUUUAGUGAGAGAACUGGGUUGGGUGUUGAUUGUAUUU